UACGAAGGGGGCUAGCGUUGCUCGGAAUGACUGGGCGUAAAGGGCGCGUAGGCGGUUUGGACAGUCAGAUGUGAAAUUCCUGGGCUCAACCUGGGGGCUGCAUUUGAUACGUUCGGACUAGAGGUGGGGAAGAGGGUCGUGGAAUUCCCAGUGUAGAGGUGAAAUUCGUAGAUAUUGGGAAGAACACCGGUGGCGAAGGCGGCGACCUGGUCCUUGACUGACGCUGAGGCGCGAAAGCGUGGGGAGCAAACAGG
This 254-nucleotide ribosomal RNA is filed under the name uncultured bacterium. RNAcentral's name for it is "partial 16S ribosomal RNA". It matches the Rfam family "Bacterial small subunit ribosomal RNA", at positions 524 to 776 of the family's 1533-position model. The record is from RNAcentral.